This 75-nucleotide transfer RNA is filed under the name Candidatus Westeberhardia cardiocondylae. RNAcentral describes it as "transfer RNA Glycine". It matches the Rfam family "tRNA". Rfam says of the family: Transfer RNA (tRNA) molecules are approximately 80 nucleotides in length. Their secondary structure includes four short double-helical elements and three loops (D, anti-codon, and T loops). Lineage: Bacteria; Pseudomonadati; Pseudomonadota; Gammaproteobacteria; Enterobacterales; Enterobacteriaceae. The record is from RNAcentral.
GCGGGUGUCGUAUAAUGGCUAUUACAUUAGCCUUCCAAGCUAAUAAUAUGGGUUCAAUUCCCAUUACCCGCUCCA